GGACUACUGGGGUUUCUAAUCCCCUUCGCUCCCCUAGCUUUCGUACCUCAGCGUCAGAAGAGACCCAGUAAGCCGCUUUCGCCACUGGUGUUCCUGAUGAUAUCAACGCAUUUCACCGCUCCACCAUCAGUUCCGCUUACCUCUGUCUCCCUCAAGCACUGCAGUAUCGGGCGCAGUUCCAGGGUUGAGCCCUGGGAUUUCACACCCGACUGACAGCGCCGCCUACGUACCCUUUAAGCCCAGUAAUUCCGAAUAACGUUUGGACGGUACGUAUUACCGCGGCUGCUGGCAC
Molecule: ribosomal RNA, 292 nt
Filed under: uncultured Planctomycetota bacterium
Lineage: Bacteria; Pseudomonadati; Planctomycetota
Description: uncultured planctomycete partial 16S ribosomal RNA
Source: RNAcentral